CAUGUCUAAGUAUAAGCAAUUUAUACAGUGAAACUGCGAAUGGCUCAUUAAAUCAGUUAUCGUUUAUUUGAUAGUACCUUACUACUUGGAUAACCGUGGUAAUUCUAGAGCUAAUACAUGCUUAAAAUCCCGACUGUUUGGAAGGGAUGUAUUUAUUAGAUAAAAAAUCAAUGUCUUCGGACUCUUUGAUGAUUCAUAAUAACUUUUCGAAUCGCAUGGCCUUGUGCUGGCGAUGGUUCAUUCAAAUUUCUGCCCUAUCAACUUUCGAUGGUAGGAUAGUGGCCUACCAUGGUUUCAACGGGUAACGGGGAAUAAGGGUUCGAUUCCGGAGAGGGAGCCUGAGAAACGGCUACCACAUCCAAGGAAGGCAGCAGGCGCGCAAAUUACCCAAUCCCGACACGGGGAGGUAGUGACAAUAAAUAACGAUACAGGGCCCUUUCGGGUCUUGUAAUUGGAAUGAGUACAAUGUAAAUACCUUAACGAGGAACAAUUGGAGGGCAAGUCUGGUGCCAGCAGCCGCGGUAAUUCCAGCUCCAAAAGCGUAUAUUAAAGUUGUUGCAGUUAAAAAGCUCGUAGUUGAACCUUGGGCUUGGUUGGCCGGUCCAUCUUUCUGAUGCGUACUGGACCCAACCGAGCCUUUCCUUCUGGCUAGCCUUUUGGCGAACCAGGACUUUUACUUUGAAAAAAUUAGAGUGUUCAAAGCAGGCCUUUGCUCGAAUAUAUUAGCAUGGAAUAA
This 736-nucleotide ribosomal RNA is filed under the name Candida tropicalis. RNAcentral describes it as "SSU rRNA". It matches the Rfam family "Eukaryotic small subunit ribosomal RNA", at positions 54 to 817 of the family's 1831-position model. Lineage: Eukaryota; Fungi; Ascomycota; Pichiomycetes; Serinales; Debaryomycetaceae. The record is from RNAcentral.